GGAGAGGUGGCUGAGUGGUUGAAAGCGGCGGUCUUGAAAACCGUUGUAGUCUUACGGCUACCGGGGGUUCGAAUCCCUCCCUCUCCGC
This 88-nucleotide transfer RNA is filed under the name Candidatus Brocadiaceae bacterium. RNAcentral describes it as "tRNA-Ser". It matches the Rfam family "tRNA". Rfam says of the family: Transfer RNA (tRNA) molecules are approximately 80 nucleotides in length. Their secondary structure includes four short double-helical elements and three loops (D, anti-codon, and T loops). The record is from RNAcentral. Lineage: Bacteria; Pseudomonadati; Planctomycetota; Candidatus Brocadiia; Candidatus Brocadiales; Candidatus Brocadiaceae.